This 253-nucleotide ribosomal RNA is filed under the name uncultured bacterium. RNAcentral describes it as "partial 16S ribosomal RNA". It matches the Rfam family "Bacterial small subunit ribosomal RNA", at positions 524 to 776 of the family's 1533-position model. The record is from RNAcentral.
UACGUAGGGUCCGAGCGUUGUCCGGAAUUAUUGGGCGUAAAGGGCUCGUAGGCGGUCUGUUGCGUCGGGAGUGAAAUCUUACAGCUUAACUGUGAACUUGCUUUCGAUACGGGCAGACUUGAGGCAUUCAGGGGAGAACGGAAUUCCUGGUGUAGCGGUGAAAUGCGCAGAUAUCAGGAGGAACACCUGCGGCGAAGGCGGGUUGCUGGGCUGAUACUGACGCUGAGGCGCGAAAGCUAGGGGAGCGAACGGG